RNAcentral lists this transfer RNA (71 nucleotides) under Eremias stummeri (Stummer's racerunner). RNAcentral's name for it is "tRNA-Ile". The record is from RNAcentral. Lineage: Eukaryota; Metazoa; Chordata; Lepidosauria; Squamata; Lacertidae.
GGACGUGUGCCCGAGCAUUCAAGGAUUACUUUGAUAGAGUAAAAUACAGGGAAUAACCUCCCUCACUUCCU